GAUUAAGUUAUUAAGGGCGCACGGUGGAUGCCUUGGCACUAGAAGCCGAUGAAGGACGUUACUAACGACGAUAUGCUUUGGGGAGCUGUAAGUAAGCUUUGAUCCAGAGAUUUCCGAAUGGGGAAACCCAGCAUGAGUUAUGUCAUGUUAUCGAUAUGUGAAUACAUAGCAUAUCAGAAGGCACACCCGGAGAACUGAAACAUCUUAGUACCCGGAGGAAGAAAAAGAAAAUUCGAUUCCCUUAGUAGCGGCGAGCGAAACGGGAAGAGCCCAAACCAACAAGCUUGCUUGUUGGGGUUGUAGGACACUCUAUACGGAGUUACAAAGGACGACAUUAGACGAAUCAUCUGGAAAGAUGAAUCAAAGAAGGUAAUAAUCCUGUAGUCGAAAAUGUUGUCUCUCUUGAGUGGAUCCUGAGUACGACGGAGCACGUGAAAUUCCGUCGGAAUCUGGGAGGACCAUCUCCUAAGGCUAAAUACUCUCUAGUGACCGAUAGUGAACCAGUACCGUGAGGGAAAGGUGAAAAGCACCCCGGAAGGGGAGUGAAAUAGAACCUGAAACCGUGUGCUUACAAGUAGUCAGAGCCCGUUAAUGGGUGAUGGCGUGCCUUUUGUAGAAUGAACCGGCGAGUUACGAUUUGAUGCAAGGUUAAGCAGUAAAUGUGGAGCCGUAGCGAAAGCGAGUCUGAAUAGGGCGUUUAGUAUUUGGUCGUAGACCCGAAACCAGGUGAUCUACCCUUGGUCAGGUUGAAGUUCAGGUAACACUGAAUGGAGGACCGAACCGACUUACGUUGAAAAGUGAGCGGAUGAACUGAGGGUAGCGGAGAAAUUCCAAUCGAACCUGGAGAUAGCUGGUUCUCUCCGAAAUAGCUUUAGGGCUAGCCUCAAGUGAUGAUUAUUGGAGGUAGAGCACUGUUUGGACGAGGGGCCCCUCUCGGGUUACCGAAUUCAGACAAACUCCGAAUGCCAAUUAAUUUAACUUGGGAGUCAGAACAUGGGUGAUAAGGUCCGUGUUCGAAAGGGAAACAGCCCAGACCACCAGCUAAGGUCCCAAAAUAUAUGUUAAGUGGAAAAGGAUGUGGCGUUGCCCAGACAACUAGGAUGUUGGCUUAGAAGCAGCCAUCAUUUAAAGAGUGCGUAAUAGCUCACUAGUCGAGUGACACUGCGCCGAAAAUGUACCGGGGCUAAACAUAUUACCGAAGCUGUGGAUUGUCCUUUGGACAAUGGUAGGAGAGCGUUCUAAGGGCGUUGAAGCAUGAUCGUAAGGACAUGUGGAGCGCUUAGAAGUGAGAAUGCCGGUGUGAGUAGCGAAAGACGGGUGAGAAUCCCGUCCACCGAUUGACUAAGGUUUCCAGAGGAAGGCUCGUCCGCUCUGGGUUAGUCGGGUCCUAAGCUGAGGCCGACAGGCGUAGGCGAUGGAUAACAGGUUGAUAUUCCUGUACCACCUAUAAUCGUUUUAAUCGAUGGGGGGACGCAGUAGGAUAGGCGAAGCGUGCGAUUGGAUUGCACGUCUAAGCAGUAAGGCUGAGUAUUAGGCAAAUCCGGUACUCGUUAAGGCUGAGCUGUGAUGGGGAGAAGACAUUGGGUCUUCGAGUCGUUGAUUUCACACUGCCGAGAAAAGCCUCUAGAUAGAAAAUAGGUGCCCGUACCGCAAACCGACACAGGUAGUCAAGAUGAGAAUUCUAAGGUGAGCGAGCGAACUCUCGUUAAGGAACUCGGCAAAAUGACCCCGUAACUUCGGGAGAAGGGGUGCUCUUUAGGGUUAACGCCCAGAAGAGCCGCAGUGAAUAGGCCCAAGCGACUGUUUAUCAAAAACACAGGUCUCUGCUAAACCGUAAGGUGAUGUAUAGGGGCUGACGCCUGCCCGGUGCUGGAAGGUUAAGAGGAGUGGUUAGCUUCUGCGAAGCUACGAAUCGAAGCCCCAGUAAACGGCGGCCGUAACUAUAACGGUCCUAAGGUAGCGAAAUUCCUUGUCGGGUAAGUUCCGACCCGCACGAAAGGCGUAACGAUUUGGGCACUGUCUCAACGAGAGACUCGGUGAAAUCAUAGUACCUGUGAAGAUGCAGGUUACCCGCGACAGGACGGAAAGACCCCGUGGAGCUUUACUGUAGCCUGAUAUUGAAAUUCGGCACAGCUUGUACAGGAUAGGUAGGAGCCUUUGAAACGUGAGCGCUAGCUUACGUGGAGGCGCUGGUGGGAUACUACCCUAGCUGUGUUGGCUUUCUAACCCGCACCACUUAUCGUGGUGGGAGACAGUGUCAGGCGGGCAGUUUGACUGGGGCGGUCGCCUCCUAAAAGGUAACGGAGGCGCUCAAAGGUUCCCUCAGAAUGGUUGGAAAUCAUUCAUAGAGUGUAAAGGCAUAAGGGAGCUUGACUGCGAGACCUACAAGUCGAGCAGGGUCGAAAGACGGACUUAGUGAUCCGGUGGUUCCGCAUGGAAGGGCCAUCGCUCAACGGAUAAAAGCUACCCCGGGGAUAACAGGCUUAUCUCCCCCAAGAGUUCACAUCGACGGGGAGGUUUGGCACCUCGAUGUCGGCUCAUCGCAUCCUGGGGCUGUAGUCGGUCCCAAGGGUUGGGCUGUUCGCCCAUUAAAGCGGUACGCGAGCUGGGUUCAGAACGUCGUGAGACAGUUCGGUCCCUAUCCGUCGUGGGCGUAGGAAAUUUGAGAGGAGCUGUCCUUAGUACGAGAGGACCGGGAUGGACAUACCUCUGGUGUACCAGUUGUCGUGCCAACGGCAUAGCUGGGUAGCUAUGUGUGGACGGGAUAAGUGCUGAAAGCAUCUAAGCAUGAAGCCCCCCUCAAGAUGAGAUUUCCCAACUUCGGUUAUAAGAUC
RNAcentral lists this ribosomal RNA (2834 nucleotides) under Staphylococcus aureus. RNAcentral's name for it is "23S ribosomal RNA". It matches the Rfam family "Bacterial large subunit ribosomal RNA". Lineage: Bacteria; Bacillati; Bacillota; Bacilli; Caryophanales; Staphylococcaceae. The record is from RNAcentral.